AAGUUGGAAUUGCUAGUAAUCUGGAUCAGCAUGCCACGGUGAAUACGUUCCCGGGUCUUGUACACACCGCCCGUCACACCAUGGGAGUCGGUAACACCCGAAGUCAGUAGUCUAACCGCAAGGAGGGCGCUGCCGAAGGCAGGAUUGAUGACUGGGGUGAAGUCGUAACAAGGUAAC
This 177-nucleotide ribosomal RNA is filed under the name uncultured bacterium. RNAcentral's name for it is "partial 16S ribosomal RNA". It matches the Rfam family "Bacterial small subunit ribosomal RNA", at positions 1323 to 1500 of the family's 1533-position model. The record is from RNAcentral.